Molecule: ribosomal RNA, 468 nt
Filed under: uncultured bacterium
Lineage: Bacteria
Description: partial 16S ribosomal RNA
Rfam family: Bacterial small subunit ribosomal RNA
Source: RNAcentral
GACGAACGCUGGCGGCGUGCUUAACACAUGCAAGUCGAACGGAAAGGCCCUGCUUUUGUGGGGUGCUCGAGUGGCGAACGGGUGAGUAACACGUGAGUAACCUGCCCUUGACUUUGGGAUAACUUCAGGAAACUGGGGCUAAUACCGGAUAGGAGCUCCUGCUGCAUGGUGGGGGUUGGAAAGUUUCGGCGGUUGGGGAUGGACUCGCGGCUUAUCAGCUUGUUGGUGGGGUAGUGGCUUACCAAGGCUUUGACGGGUAGCCGGCCUGAGAGGGUGACCGGCCACAUUGGGACUGAGAUACGGCGCAGACUCCUACGGGAGGCAGCAGUGGGGAAUAUGGCACAAUGGGCGGGAGCCUGAUGCAGCAACGCCGCGUGCGGGAUGACGGCCUUCGGGUUGUAAACCGCUUUCGCCUGUGACGAAGCGUGAGUGACGGUAAUGGGUAAAGAAGCACCGGCUAACUACGUG